UCCGGUUUGGCACCGGCAGUCCUCCCAGAGUCCUCGACUUGACUCGCUAGCAACUGGGAGCGGGGGUUGCGCUCGUUGCGGGACUUAACCCAACAUCUCACGACACGAGCUGACGACAGCCAUGCAGCACCUGUCUUGGGACUCCGAAGAGGGGCCGUGGUUUCUCACGGCUUUCCCCAAGAUGUCAAGCCCAGGUAAGGUUCUUCGCGUUGCGUCGAAUUAAACCACAUGCUCCACCGCUUGUGCGGGCCCCCGUCAAUUCCUUUGAGUUUCAGCCUUGCGGCCGUACUCCCCAGGCGGGGCACUUAAUGCGUUAGCGCCGGCACCCAGGGGGUCGCUCCCCCAGGCACCUAGUGCCCAUCGUUUACGGCGUGGACUAC
RNAcentral lists this unclassified non-coding RNA (380 nucleotides) under uncultured Gemmatimonadaceae bacterium. RNAcentral's name for it is "contains 16S-23S intergenic spacer region". Lineage: Bacteria; Pseudomonadati; Gemmatimonadota; Gemmatimonadia; Gemmatimonadales; Gemmatimonadaceae. The record is from RNAcentral.